CGGGACGGGGUGGAGUAAUGUCUGGGAAACUGCCUGAUGGAGGGGGGUAACUACUGGAAACGGUAGCUAAUACCGCAUAACGUCGCAAGACCAAAGAGGGGGACCUUCGGACCUCUUGCCAUCGGAUGUGCCCAGAUGGGAUUAGCUAGUAGGUGGGGUAACGGCUCACCUAGGCGACGAUCCCUAGCUGGUCUGAGAGGAUGACCAGCCACACUGGAACUGAGACACGGUCCAG
RNAcentral lists this ribosomal RNA (235 nucleotides) under uncultured bacterium. RNAcentral's name for it is "partial 16S ribosomal RNA". It matches the Rfam family "Bacterial small subunit ribosomal RNA", at positions 104 to 334 of the family's 1533-position model. The record is from RNAcentral.